RNAcentral lists this ribosomal RNA (254 nucleotides) under uncultured bacterium. Its description in RNAcentral is "partial 16S ribosomal RNA". It matches the Rfam family "Bacterial small subunit ribosomal RNA", at positions 524 to 776 of the family's 1533-position model. The record is from RNAcentral.
UACGUAGGGGGCAAGCGUUGUCCGGAUUUAUUGGGCGUAAAGAGCUCGUAGGCGGUUUGGUAAGUCUGGUGUGAAAUCUCCACGCUCAACGUGGAGGGGCCACCCGAUACUGCCAUGACUGGAGUCCGGUAGAGGAGUGUGGAAUUCCCGGUGUAGCGGUGAAAUGCGCAGAUAUCGGGAGGAACACCGGUGGCGAAGGCGGUUCUCUGGGCAUGAUCUGACGCUGAGGAGCGAAAGUGUGGGGAGCGAACAGG